CGAUGAAGCCGGGGCUUGCUCUGGUGGAUUAGUGGCGAACGGGUGAGUAACACGUGAGCAACCUGCCCUGGACUCUGGGAUAAGCGCUGGAAACGGCGUCUAAUACUGGAUACGAGACGUGGCCGCAUGGUCAACGUUUGGAAAGAUUUUUCGGUCUGGGAUGGGCUCGCGGCCUAUCAGCUUGUUGGUGAGGUAAUGGCUCACCAAGGCGUCGACGGGUAGCCGGCCUGAGAGGGUGACCGGCCACACUGGGACUGAGACACGGCCCAGACUCCUACGGGAGGCAGCAGUGGGGAAUAUUGCACAAUGGGCGGAAGCCUGAUGCAGCAACGCCGCGUGAGGGAUGACGGCCUUCGGGUUGUAAACCUCUUUUAGCAGGGAAGAAGCGAAAGUGACGGUACCUGCAGAAAAAGCGCCGGCUAACUACGUGCCAGCAGCCGCGGUAAUACGUAGGGCGCAAGCGUUAUCCGGAAUUAUUGGGCGUAAAGAGCUCGUAGGCGGUUUGUCGCGUCUGCUGUGAAAUCCCGAGGCUCAACCUCGGGCCUGCAGUGGGUACGGGCAGACUAGAGUGCGGUAGGGGAGAUUGGAAUUCCUGGUGUAGCGGUGGAAUGCGCAGAUAUCAGGAGGAACACCGAUGGCGAAGGCAGAUCUCUGGGCCGUAACUGACGCUGAGGAGCGAAAGGGUGGGGAGCAAACAGGCUUAGAUACCCUGGUAGUCCACCCCGUAAACGUUGGGAACUAGUUGUGGGGUCCUUUCCACGGAUUCCGUGACGCAGCUAACGCAUUAAGUUCCCCGCC
Molecule: ribosomal RNA, 798 nt
Filed under: Microbacterium sp.
Lineage: Bacteria; Bacillati; Actinomycetota; Actinomycetes; Micrococcales; Microbacteriaceae
Description: bacterial SSU rRNA
Rfam family: Bacterial small subunit ribosomal RNA
Source: RNAcentral